UGGGGAAUAUUGGACAAUGGGCGAAAGCCUGAUCCAGCCAUGCCUCGUGUGUGAAGAAGGUCUUCGGAUUGUAAAGCACUUUAAGUUGGGAGGAAGGGCAGUAAGCGAAUACCUUGCUGUUUUGACGUUACCGACAGAAUAAGCACCGGCUAACUCUGUGCCAGCAGCCGCGGUAAUACAGAGGGUGCAAGCGUUAAUCGGAAUUACUGGGCGUAAAGCGCGCGUAGGUGGUUCGUUAAGUUGAAUGUGAAAGCCCCGGGCUCAACCUGGGAACUGCAUCCAAAACUGGCGAGCUAGAGUAGGGCAGAGGGUGGUGGAAUUUCCUGUGUAGCGGUGAAAUGCGUAGAUAUAGGAAGGAACACCAGUGGCGAAGGCGACAACCUGGGCUCAUACUGACACUGAGGUGCGAAAGCGUGGGGAGCAAACAGG
This 429-nucleotide ribosomal RNA is filed under the name Pseudomonadota bacterium. Its description in RNAcentral is "Proteobacteria bacterium partial 16S ribosomal RNA". It matches the Rfam family "Bacterial small subunit ribosomal RNA", at positions 355 to 776 of the family's 1533-position model. The record is from RNAcentral. Lineage: Bacteria; Pseudomonadati; Pseudomonadota.